This 713-nucleotide ribosomal RNA is filed under the name uncultured bacterium. RNAcentral describes it as "bacterial SSU rRNA". It matches the Rfam family "Bacterial small subunit ribosomal RNA", at positions 10 to 718 of the family's 1533-position model. The record is from RNAcentral.
AGUUUGAUCCUGGCUCAGAUUGAACGCUGGCGGCAUGCCUUACACAUGCAAGUCGAACGGCAGCACGGACUUCGGUCUGGUGGCGAGUGGCGAACGGGUGAGUAAUAUAUCGGAACAUACCCUAGAGUGGGGGAUAACGUAGCGAAAGUUACGCUAAUACCGCAUACGCACUAAGGUGGAAAGUGGGGGAUCGCAAGACCUCAUGCUCAUGGAGUGGCCGAUAUCUGAUUAGCUAGUUGGUGAGGUAAAGGCUCACCAAGGCGACGAUCAGUAGCUGGUUUGAGAGAACGACCAGCCACACUGGAACUGAGACACGGUCCAGACUCCUACGGGAGGCAGCAGUGGGGAAUUUUGGACAAUGGGCGCAAGCCUGAUCCAGCAAUGCCGCGUGAGUGAAGAAGGCCUUCGGGUUGUAAAGCUCUUUUGUCAGGGAAGAAACGGUUGUUCCUAAUACGGAUGGCUAAUGACGGUACCUGAAGAAUAAGCACCGGCUAACUACGUGCCAGCAGCCGCGGUAAUACGUAGGGUGCAAGCGUUAAUCGGAAUUACUGGGCGUAAAGCGUGCGCAAGCGGUUAUAUAAGUCAGAUGUGAAAUCCCCGGGCUCAACCUGGGAACUGCAUUUGAGACUGUAUGGCUAGAGUGUGUCAGAGGGGGGUAGAAUUCCACGUGUAGCAGUGGAAUGCGUAGAUAUGUGGAGGAAUACCGAUGGCGA